GCGUGCUAAUCUGCGAUAAGCGCCGGUAAGGUGAUAUGAACCGUUAUAACCGGCGAUACCCGAAUGGGGAAACCCAGUGUGAUUCGUCACACUAUCAUUAACUGAAUCCAUAGGUUAAUGAGGCGAACCGGGGGAACUGAAACAUCUAAGUACCCCGAGGAAAAGAAAUCAACCGAGAUUCCCCCAGUAGCGGCGAGCGAACGGGGAGGAGCCCAGAGCCUGAAUCAGCAUGUGUGUUAGUGGAAGCGUCUGGAAAGGCGCGCGAUACAGGGUGACAGCCCCGUACACAAAAGCGCAUGUGCUGUGAGCUCGAUGAGUAGGGCGGGACACGUGGUAUCCUGUCUGAAUAUGGGGGGACCAUCCUCCAAGGCUAAAUACUCCUGACUGACCGAUAGUGAACCAGUACCGUGAGGGAAAGGCGAAAAGAACCCCGGCGAGGGGAGUGAAAAAGAACCUGAAACCG
This 463-nucleotide ribosomal RNA is filed under the name Salmonella enterica subsp. enterica serovar Typhimurium. RNAcentral describes it as "partial 23S ribosomal RNA". It matches the Rfam family "Bacterial large subunit ribosomal RNA", at positions 56 to 558 of the family's 2925-position model. The record is from RNAcentral. Lineage: Bacteria; Pseudomonadati; Pseudomonadota; Gammaproteobacteria; Enterobacterales; Enterobacteriaceae.